RNAcentral lists this transfer RNA (64 nucleotides) under bovine gut metagenome. It matches the Rfam family "tRNA", at positions 6 to 65 of the family's 71-position model. Rfam says of the family: Transfer RNA (tRNA) molecules are approximately 80 nucleotides in length. Their secondary structure includes four short double-helical elements and three loops (D, anti-codon, and T loops). The record is from RNAcentral.
CAGUAGCUCAGUCGGUUAGAGCACCUGACUGUUAAUCAGGGGGUCGUUGGUUCAAGCCCAUCCU